This is a long non-coding RNA of Capsicum annuum, 6171 nucleotides long. RefSeq lists it as uncharacterized. Lineage: Eukaryota; Viridiplantae; Streptophyta; Magnoliopsida; Solanales; Solanaceae. The transcript is spliced from 2 exons. The record is from RefSeq and is a predicted model, not a curated record.
UUACCCAUGGGGCACAACUUGUUCUUUUGUGAUUUUAAAGUCUUGCCUCCGGAGCAAGAGUUAUAGAUCAUCUGCCAAAUCAUUACAUACUUAAUUAAGGCAAAGUCAACUUUUGCCCAUAGGGCACAACUUUUAUUUGGGUGGACUCUAUGUUAGACAUUAUAAAACUAGACAUCGUAAGUUAGACAUUAUUAAAUUAUGUCGAUACAAACUAAUAAUGUCUACUCUUACCCGCAUGGCACAACUUAUUUUGUUGGGUCUAAGUUUUCCUCUUGCAGAACAUUAGCUAAUUUAAUACAGAUUAAUAGUGUUAACGUUUGCCCAUGAGGCACAAUUUACGAUAUAUUAUUUUAUUAAAAAUCAAUUAUUUUUUAAAUGACAUAAUUUAUUUGCACCAAGUUUAAGUUAAAAAUAUAUUUUUGUAUCAAAAAAAAUUAAAAAUACGUUUACUCUCUACACAAAGUUAAAGUCAAGAUAAAUUUCAUCUCAAAGCUCGAAAGCGUCGGAUUAAUAUAGUACAUUUUGUACCAAAAAAUAAAGUUAGAAAUAUAUUUACCCUUUGCAAAGCUUGAGCUUUGAAUUUAUGACAAAUUUCAUAAAGCUACAAAAAAUUUCAUUUCAAAGCUUGAGCUUCGGAUUUACGAUAAAUUUCUUAAAGCUACAACAAAAAUUCAUCUCAAAGCUUGAGCUUCGAAUUUACGACAUAUUUCACAAAACUACAAAAAUAUUUCAUCUCAAAACUUGAGCUUCGGAUUUACGACACAUUUCAUAAAGCUACAAAAUAUUUUUAUUUGGGGUUAAAAUUUGAAAGUCACCCUAAUUUGGGUCUAUUUUUGAGAUUCUCCCUUCACUGUCUUCGUUCAUUAGAAAGUUAAUAAAAUUCGGUGGUUCAGUUCAUACUUCAAAACAACUACUUGUAGUCAACUUCUAUCCAUGUUUCGCAAGCUUAUCAGCUACACUGUUGUGUCUCCUUGAUUUAUGCAACAUCAUUGGGCUCCCCAGCUUGAGAAAACAAUCCCUACAAGAGGGGGUUAAGUUAUUGUUAGUUUGUGUGAGUGAAUCCAAAGAGUUGAUUACCUCUAGGAAAUCCGUGGCAAUUUCUAGAUAAGAGACCUGCACAUUAGUAGCAAUAAUAAGGCCAAAGUUUAGACUGGUGCAUUCGGCUUCUAGAGGUGAAUGGACAUUAAUUCUAGCGCUCUAACCAUUCACCCAAAAUCCAAGUGAGUCACGAAAGACCCCCCUGCACCCCCAACCUUGGUUAAGUGAUUGUAUGAACCAUCAAAAUUUAGUUUUAGGCCUUUAUCAGGGGGUUUUCAAGUUGUGUGAGGUUUUGGGACUACAUGAGAAGGGUUCGUAGCCAGGAAGAUGAAUUUCGCAGCUCGUGCAAACGGGGUGGAAAGAGGGAUAUUAAUUUUUGAGUUAUUGUAAAGGUUAUGGUUUCUAAUGAGCCAUAUAUUACACAUAUAAAAGGGAAAGACGUCUUUCCAGGCUAUUAAAUUAUUUACUGGAGGUGCAUGGAUUUUGCUACACAUUCGUAACUAGUCUGCGCGGUCAGAGGUCGCGAUUGACUGGAUAUGCGGGAGAAGGUGCAUUUGAUUUCAAAAAUUUUAAACACUGGUACAUUAAAGAAAGAUAUGUUGCAUGGUUUCAGGCGUAUUGCAUAGAGCUCAGUUAGACCAGGCGUAUUCCAGACUGGUCAAUACUUAACACAAAAAAAUUUUGUGAAACAUACCGAUGAGCAAGUAUCUCUGGUACAUUCAACAUUAAUUGACACUGCCCCAUUAUUUCAUUAUAGCACUAAUUCAAACAAUUUUACUGAAUUAUUGAUUCUAAUUUACAAACUAACAAAUCUCCUGGAGAAAGAAAUACAUAAUUUAGAUCAACAUUGAUUACAUGUCAUUACACGUCGAUUGAAUGAUGAUCAAUCUUUAAAGGAACUUUAUUUUUCUAUGUUCAGAAAUCCUAUAGUAUUAAAGAUGGUGAAAAUAUUAAAAUCAUUUCACACGUUGAAGUGAAUUGGGGUUAGUCAAAUCAAGAUGUCUCUACCUUAAUCUCUAAUGUUGAGCCAUUGUCUGUUAAGCAACUGAUCCUGUCAAGAUGAAACACAGAGAAUAAUAAGAACUACACGAAAUUAAAUGACUAAUCAGAAAGAUCUGAUGUUACUGAUACAUGGCAAACUUGAGCGUUCAUGACAGCUAAAAGUGGCAAAGAUCAAAACUUUUUCAAUAGAUUAGACUACUGGAGUUUCGAAACAACAAAAAAACUAGGAUAUACUUACGAAUUACCCCAAUUGGAGUAUCAAAAACAUUGUUAUUAUUGAUUUGAAUGUGGCUCGCUUCCAGGCAGAAGUCGCGGAAAAAGUAAAGCUCAAGUCCAACUGGAUGACUAUUGGUUUCUUAAAAAAAUAUAUCCAUAAUAUAAACAACAUAUCGUAUAAUGAAAUCUUACCAUUGGAUCUUGCCUCCUUGCAGCUAAUGGCUACUUUUUGAAAAAAUUCCUUGCUAACGUCUGUAAUAUAGCAGUAAAAAGCAAUGAGCAAUUAACUUCCAAGCAAAGGGAAUGGCAAAGCCAAUAAGUUUACUACUGGUAGCUCAUGAAAUCAAAUAGUUAUACGGUAAAAUUUAUAUUUUUUUGAAAAUCGCUGUAAACUACAAAGGAAUGUGAAAUUUUCAGUAUAACAGUCCGUAUGAGCCACCAGGAUAUUAGACUGGUGAGAAUUUACUGGUCUAAUAUGUCAACUUACUUAUACAAAAAAAUUAGAAACAAUUCUAGGAAAAAAUUCUUCUCAUAAUGACUUUUACUUCAACAUUACUAAACAUCGUCAUAAUUUGAUGUUGUAAAGCCAUUACCUUUUGUUUUCUUUUCUCUUUCAAUCGUAUUCCACCUUUAUGUUUAUGUUUAAAAUAUUCAUCAAGGAUCCCAUUUGUUUUAAUUCAUGGCAUCUUCUGGCUUCCUCACGUUUUGACAUUUUUUCUGCGUCUUUAUAGUUAAAAUGAUAACAUCAAUCUGUUCAAUAACUACUCUGGAGCAUUCCUACGUCCCUCAUAUUUCCAAACUUAUAUUAAACCGCUCACUUAAAACCAAAACGAUUUCUAACCGAAUAUUUCACUACUUUUCUAGGGAAGGGGUCAAAUGUUUAAUCUCUUUUCUCCCCCUUAUUGUUCUCCAUAUUCAUGUGGACAAGCAUAUGUAAUUUAAACAAAACAACUCCGAUCAGAUAUUCCAAGAAAACAUUUUUCAGAGUCAGAAUCCUCCCUUUUAGAAUCCUUCAAGAUCCAAAAUAGCCUAAUAAAGAUCAAUUCUAUUGUUUCUUCUCAUUCCUUGAGUAAAUACAAAAAGUUAACUACUGCAAGAGAGUUCGGCAUUUCUUUUUUCCCUUUCUUCACAAACAAAUCAGUUUCUACUUCGAUAUUUAUGCAUAUGUAGCAUUAUAUCAUAACAAAACUAAAUGCAAUAGAACUAGUUUCGAGAGACAAGACUAUACUGCUACUAAAGCAAAACAUACCAUGCUUCAUAUUUAAAGAUGGAUUUUGAUCAUCUAUAUAACCAACCAUCUUUGCUGGUAUUCCUAUCACCAUACUGUAAAACCAAAAGAAAGGCACAUCACAACCAGUAUUCGAUGCAGUAUUAAAACUCCUUUACAGAUAAACCAGAAGUUUAAAAUAUAUAGUACUCAACCUGUGAAGAGGAACAUCCUUCAUUACAAGAGAAUUUGCACCAACCAUUGCACCCUCCCCUACUUUUAUAUUUCCAAGUAUAGUUACACUAGCUCCAAUAAGUGCACCUUGACCUAUUUUGGGAUGUCUAUCACCAGUUUCUUUCCCAAUUCCUACUAAGGUUAUACCCUGCACAAAAUAUAUUUAGGUGGAUAAGAAAUUCAGAUUAUCUUCAAGGAUUGAGGGAGUACAUAUGAACUUCCAUAUGAGAGUUAAGUUGCCCAGCUUAUAUAACACAGAAUGAAAAUAGUCUAGGUGAUGGAAUGAAUUAUUUAGAUAAUAGAUGCAUAAUGUUUCCUUCUCCUUUCACAUAGAAGGAUCCCACUAGUUACCACCUCUGUACAUCGCUAGAGUUCACUACACAAAAACUAUACUAUUGUCCUUCGGUGCAGAACUUUGUGACAGGCUUCCCAUCGUGCCCACGAUAACAUUUUCUUUUGGGUGGGUGUAUAAACUGAUUCUUAUAUAUGCAGUUUGGCAUGAGAGAAAUGCAAGACUGUCCAACAAACUGAGACAACUAGAGAAGUUUGCAAGCAAGGUAGCUUUGUAGUUUGCGUUCAAGCUAUAGAAACAAUCAAACUUAUUUUUGUACCACCUUGUCCUUAUACAUUUGGCCUUCCCAAAAAAUAUUGCGAUCAAUGUUAACUCCCAUAUUAACAGCCUUUCUGUCCAAGAGCAAACUCCCGCAACUACUCAAAUAUAAUUAUAAUCGCAAUAACAAACUCCCCAUAACCUAUUCGAUAUAAUUCCUCAUUAUCUUCUAACAAUUUCUCAUCAUCUUCUAAUGCUAAUUAUACCACUAGUUUGAAAUACUUAGAACUAAUUUCUUGUACCACCUUGACUUUAUACGUUUGGCCUUACCAAAAAAAUAUUGCGAUCAACGUUAAAUCUCAUAUUAACGGCCUUUCCCUCCAAGACCACCCCCCAUCCCCGCAACUAUUCAAACAAAAUUAUAACCGCAAUAACAAACUCCCCAAAACCUAUUUGGCACAAUUCCUCAAUGAAAAAUAUGUUACUACAACAACAACAUAGCCCAACUUCAACUUGCGUUCACCUCCCCAAAAAUCAAAUCAAUAUGUUAAUUAUAUAACGAGCUAAAAUUUACUGUAAUGCAUCAAUAAGCUAAAAUUAUCACAAUGAAUUUUGAUGAUGAAAUUCAUACCUGAAGAAAUCUUACGACUAAAGUCGAUUCUGCGAAUUUGGAAGAAAAAACGGAAGAAAGAGAUUUAACAAUGAAUAUAUUGGAGUAGGGGUAAUUUCUUCUAAAAAAUAUCAGUUAACAAGUUAAGGUUAUUUUAACAAAACCUUUUUAUUUGGGGCUAAAAUUUAAAAUUCACCCUAAUUUGGAUCUAUUUUUGAGAAUAAUCCUAUACCAUCAGAUAACCUCAGCCCACACCACCAGCCAAGCAACACAACCCAGCCUAAUACCUCGCGACCCGGCCCAAUAACCCUUUUCCCUUACCCCAUUUAACAACGGCAAAACUCCAACAGAGCACCAACAAACGCUACAACAGCGUACAACUUCAACGUAUACCGACAGCAACAUCACCAACCCGUAACAACGUUAACAAUCAACAACAGCCACAACGGCGAAAACGCUAACAGCGUUCAACGCCAAUCACCAGUCAACUAGCCGUUCCUCCUCAAUUUACCGAUUUACCCUCCUCAUACAGCCAUUUAUGGCUAAAAAUCAAAAGGCUUCAAUGGUUUUCAGUCUAGGGUUCAUCACUUCGGGUAAUAAUUAAUGCCCAACGUUCCUUUUUUUGUCCCACAGUGAACUUCAAAUUUUUAUAAGAAAUCACUCAAAUUGAGUUUGAAAUCCGAACCCUAAUCCUUUCUCCUAUAAAUAGAGGUUGAGGGAUAGAGGAAAGGGGAGAAUUUUUUGGGGAAAAACUUGGAGGUUGGAGAGGCGCAUGCUUCUAACCUAACGCAACCAAAAAUUCUCGAAAAAUUGAGUUCCGGCGAAAUCGAGUGUGAUUCCGAUGGUGGAAACUUAUCGUGAUAGGCUCGUCACCCUAGUUCGCUGCCCGAAAAAAGUGGACUCUAUCCCUUAUGCAUUUCCGCAAUGGGCCAAGAAGGCCCAUGUCAUUUCGAGUCCAAGCCUCAACCAAAGUCCCGAAAAUGGGCUGAGAGAUAUGAAACAAGGCUGUAUACAUGUGUAUACAGUAGAUAUAUGGUGAAUAUGAGAAAAAAGAAGCUUAUUAUACAGUUGAAGGACUAAAAUACGUGUAUAUAUGACCAAUAUAUGGUCAUGUAUACCCCAAAUAUACAGGAAAACGCAGGGGAAAGAGCUGUGAUAUACAGCUGGUAUACAGUUCAGAAAAAUGGACCCAAAGUCCAUAAUUUUAAGCCCAAAAAAUGGGCAGCUUUGUUGGUGGGCCAAUUAAGGUCCAAUUUCAAUUCUUAUAGUGUAAACAACAUAAAUCCCCUAGUUAAUGAAACUAAUUACUCAAAA